Molecule: ribosomal RNA, 253 nt
Filed under: uncultured bacterium
Lineage: Bacteria
Description: partial 16S ribosomal RNA
Rfam family: Bacterial small subunit ribosomal RNA
Source: RNAcentral
UACAGAGGGGGCAAGCGUUGUUCGGAAUUACUGGGCGUAAAGGGCGCGUAGGCGGCCCGCUAAGUCGAACGUGAAAUCCCCGGGCUCAACCCGGGAACUGCGUCCGAUACUGGUGGGCUUGAGUCCGGGAGAGGGAUGCGGAAUUCCAGGUGUAGCGGUGAAAUGCGUAGAUAUCUGGAGGAACACCGGUGGCGAAAGCGGCUUCCUGGCCCGACAUUGACGCUCAUGUACGAAAGCGUGGGGAGCAAACAGG